This 711-nucleotide ribosomal RNA is filed under the name uncultured bacterium. RNAcentral's name for it is "bacterial SSU rRNA". It matches the Rfam family "Bacterial small subunit ribosomal RNA", at positions 55 to 759 of the family's 1533-position model. The record is from RNAcentral.
AUGCAGUCGAACGGCAGCACGGGAGUAAUCCUGGUGGCGAGUGGCGAACGGGUGAGUGAUAUAUCGGAACGUGCCCAGUCGUGGGGGAUAACGCAGCGAAAGCUGUGCUAAUACCGCAUACGAUCUCUGGAUGAAAGCGGGGGACUCGCAAGAGCCUCGCGCGAUUGGAGCGGCCGAUAUCAGAUUAGCUAGUUGGUGGGGUAAAGGCCCACCAAGGCGACGAUCUGUAGCUGGUCUGAGAGGACGACCAGCCACACUGGAACUGAGACACGGUCCAGACUCCUACGGGAGGCGGCAGUGGGGAAUUUUGGACAAUGGGCGCAAGCCUGAUCCAGCAAUGCCGCGUGCAGGAUGAAGGCCUUCGGGUUGUAAACUGCUUUUGUACGGAACGAAAAGGUCUGCCUUAAUACGGUGGGCCCAUGACGGUACCGUAAGAAUAAGCACCGGCUAACUACGUGCCAGCAGCCGCGGUAAUACGUAGGGUGCGAGCGUUAAUCGGAAUUACUGGGCGUAAAGCGUGCGCAGGCGGUUAUAUAAGACAGAUGUGAAAUCCCCGGGCUCAACCUGGGACCUGCAUUUGUGACUGUAUAGCUAGAGUACGGUAAAGGGGGGAUGGAAUUCCGCGUGUAGCAGUGAAAUGCGUAGAUAUGCGGAGGAACACCGAUGGGCGAAAGCAUCCCCUGGACCUGUACUGACGCUCAUGCACGAAAG